AUGGCUGUCGUCAGCUUGUGUCGUGAGAUGUUGGGUUAAGUCCCGCAACGAGCGCAACCCUUGUCCUGUGUUACCAUGUCGAAAGACGGAACUCGCAGGAGACCGCCAGCGAUAAGCUGGAGGAAGGUGGGGAUGACGUCAAGUCCUCAUGGCCUUUAUGUCCAGGGCUACACACGUGCUACAAUGGGCGGUACAAAGCGCUGCUAAACCGCAAGGUGGAGCCAAUCGCAAAAAGCCGCUCUCAGUUCGGAUUGCAGGCUGCAACUCGCCUGCAUGAAGCUGGAAUCGCUAGUAAUGCUAUAUCAGAACGAUAGCGUGAAUACGUUCCCGGGCCUUGUACACACCGCCCGUCACAUCACGAAAGUGGAUUGUACUAGAAGUCUGCACGCUAACCCGCAAGGGAGGCAGCGGCCCAAGGUAUGAUUCAUGAUUGGGGUGAAGUCGUAACAAGGUAGCCGUAGGAGAACCUGCGGCUGGAUCACCUCCUUUCUAAGAGAACGUGGGUGGAGUCGUCGAUAAGUACACGACGGCAGUCGUUCCACUCCAAUCAAUCAUUAGUUGUCAGCUUCGGCUGAUCGCGAAAUGAUUGACUCGCACGGAUCUCUGGACUCGGAGUUUGAAGUGAAUAUAGGCAAGAAGCUGGUCUUCGAGCCUGUGCGUCCAAUCGGCCUCGAUUGAUUUUCUUACCAGGGGCUGUAGCUCAGCUGGGAGAGCGCCUGAUUUGCAUUCAGGAGGUCGCCGGUUCGAUCCCGACCAGCUCCACCAGUUCUAAAGCUGGACGGGCCUGUAGCUCAGUUGGCUAGAGCGCACCCCUGAUAAGGGUGAGGUCGGUAGUUCGAUUCUACCCAGGCCCACCAAAAAAUUCAGAAGUCAGUUAACACCGCUCGCGUAGUGGAGCCGAGUGAUGUUCGCUGACAGCUGAAGCGUAAUUGCGGAUAGCUGUUUGUUCUUUGACAAUUGAAUAUUGACGGGCAUUUACUACAAGUGAAUGCAAGAAGCGCAGAAAGAAUGUACAUCUGUGUUUAGAAUAGAUUUUAUGGUCAAGCUACUAAGGGCGUGUGUGUGGAUGCCUUGGCGCAAAUAGGCGAUGAAGGACGUGGUCAGCUGCGAUAAGCUUCGGGAAGCUGCUAACAAGCUAUGAUCCGGAGAUGUCCGAAUGGGGAAACCCGG
Molecule: small RNA, 1170 nt
Filed under: uncultured Candidatus Solibacter sp.
Lineage: Bacteria; Pseudomonadati; Acidobacteriota; Terriglobia; Bryobacterales; Solibacteraceae
Description: bacterial SSU rRNA
Rfam family: Bacterial small subunit ribosomal RNA (bases 1-489)
Source: RNAcentral